UGGGGAAUNUUGCNCAAUGGGGGAAACCCUGAUGCAGCGAUGCCGCGUGAGUGAAGAAGGCCCUUGGGUUGUAAAACUCUUUUGUCGGGGAAGAAAAUGACUGUACCCGAAUAAGAAGGUCCGGCUAACUUCGUGCCAGCAGCCGCGGUAAUAGGAAGGGACCUAGUGUAGUUUGGAAUUACUGGGNUUAAAGAGCUCGUAGGUGGUUAAAAAAGUUGAUGGUGAAAUCCCAAGGCUCAACCUUGGAACUGCCAUCAAAACUUUUUAGGUAGAGUGUGAUAGAGGUAAGUGGAAUUUNUAGUGUAGAGGUGAAAUUCGUAGAUAUUAGAAAGAACACCAAAUGGGAAGGCAACUUACUGGGUCACUACUGACACUGAGGAGCGAAAGCAUGGGUAGCGAAGAGGAUUAGAUACCCUCGUAGUCCAUGCCGUAAACGAUGUGUGCUAGACGUUGGAAAUAUAUUUUUCAGUGUCGCAGCGAACGCGU
RNAcentral lists this ribosomal RNA (486 nucleotides) under uncultured bacterium. RNAcentral's name for it is "bacterial SSU rRNA". It matches the Rfam family "Bacterial small subunit ribosomal RNA", at positions 355 to 860 of the family's 1533-position model. The record is from RNAcentral.